RNAcentral lists this unclassified non-coding RNA (24 nucleotides) under Mus musculus (house mouse). RNAcentral describes it as "oocyte_clustered_small_RNA13564". The record is from RNAcentral. Lineage: Eukaryota; Metazoa; Chordata; Mammalia; Rodentia; Muridae.
UGGAGACAAGUUGCAUCAAUGAAU